Molecule: ribosomal RNA, 1235 nt
Filed under: metagenome
Description: bacterial SSU rRNA
Rfam family: Bacterial small subunit ribosomal RNA
Source: RNAcentral
CACGUGUGCAACCAACCCCGUACCGGGAGAUAACCCGCGGAAACGUGGACUAACACCCCAUAACACCUUUCCCCCGCAUGGGGGGGAGUUUAAAACCCCGGUGGUACGGGACGGGCACGCGCGACAUUAGGUAGUUGGCGGGGUAACGGCCCACCAAGCCGACGAUGUCUAGGGGUUCUGAGAGGAAGGUCCCCCACACUGGAACUGAGACACGGUCCAGACUCCUACGGGAGGCAGCAGUGAGGAAUAUUGGUCAAUGGGCGAGAGCCUGAACCAGCCAAGUCGCGUGAGGGAAGAAUGGUCUAUGGCCUGUAAACCUCUUUUGUCAAGGAAGAAUAAGCGGCACGAGUGCCACCUUGCCAGUACUUGACGAAUAAGCAUCGGCUAACUCCGUGCCAGCAGCCGCGGUAAUACGGGGGAUGCGAGCGUUAUCCGGAUUUAUUGGGUUUAAAGGGCGCGUAGGCGGGACGGCAAGUCAGCGGUAAAAGACUGCAGCUAAACUGUAGCACGCCGUUGAAACUGUCGACCUGGAGACGAGACGAGGGAGGCGGAACAAGUGAAGUAGCGGUGAAAUGCGUAGAUAUCACUUGGAACCCCGAUAGCGAAGGCAGCUUCCCAGGCUCGAUCUGACGCUGAUGCGCGAGAGCGUGGGUAGCGAACAGGAUUAGAUACCCUGGUAGUCCACGCCGUAAACGAUGCUCACUGGAUCUUGGCGAUACACGGCCAGGGUUCAAGCGAAAGUAUUAAGUGAGCCACCUGGGGAGUACGUCGGCAACGAUGAAACUCAAAGGAAUUGACGGGGGCCCGCACAAGCGGAGGAACAUGUGGUUUAAUUCGAUGAUACGCGAGGAACCUUACCCGGGUUUAAAUGCAGGUUGCAUGAGGUGGAAACACCUCUUUCCCUCGGGACUACCUGCAAGGUGCUGCAUGGUUGUCGUCAGCUCGUGCCGUGAGGUGUCGGGUUAAGUCCCAUAACGAGCGCAACCCCUAUCGCCAGUUGCCAUCGGUUCAAGCCGGGCACUCUGUCGAGACUGCCACCGUAAGGUGCGAGGAAGGCGGGGAUGACGUCAAAUCAGCACGGCCCUUACACCCGGGGCGACACACGUGUUACAAUGGCCGGUACAGAGGGCAGCCACGGGGCGACCCGGAGCGAAUCUCUAAAGCCGGUCGUAGUUCGGACUGGAGUCUGCAACCCGACUCCACGAAGUUGGAUUCGCUAGUAAUCGCGCAUCAGC